GACGGAGGAUGCAAGCGUUAUCCGGAAUUAUUGGGCGUAAAGCGUCUGUAGGUGGCUUUUUAAGUCUGCCGUCAAAUCCCAGGGCUCAACCCUGGCCAGGCGGUGGAGACUACUAAGCUGGAGUACGGUAGGGGCAGAGGGAAUUUCCGGUGGAGCGGUGAAAUGCGUAGAUAUCGGAAAGAACACCAAGGGCGAAGGCACUCUGCUGGGCCGAAACUGACACUGAGAGACGAGAGCUAGGGGAGCAAAUGGG
Molecule: ribosomal RNA, 253 nt
Filed under: uncultured bacterium
Lineage: Bacteria
Description: partial 16S ribosomal RNA
Rfam family: Bacterial small subunit ribosomal RNA
Source: RNAcentral